Molecule: long non-coding RNA, 204 nt
Filed under: Nicotiana benthamiana
Lineage: Eukaryota; Viridiplantae; Streptophyta; Magnoliopsida; Solanales; Solanaceae
Description: long non-coding RNA (NBEN_LNC030067)
Source: RNAcentral
UUCAAACAAGAUGGAGUUAUCAACCUUGAGGAACCUACUGCCAAAAAUCCUUGGAAGUAAAGGACAAGCUUUGAUCGGGCAACUUGCACCAAGACAAAUACUUAUCAGGAUGGAUCAAUUUGACGAUUUUCGUACAUCACUUGCGAGGUCAGUUCUGUACUUUAAUCAGAAUGGAAGGGAGCAUCAAAUUAGAGUAUUUCCAUG